AACAACGCUGGCGGCGUGUCUUAAGCAUGCAAGUCGAGCGGCAAGGAAGUGCUUGCACUUCCCUAGAGCGGCGGACUGGUGAGUAACGCGUGGGUGAUCUACCUCGGGGUUGGGGAUAGCCAUUAGAAAUAGUGGGUAAUACCGAAUACGCUUCCAGGGCUACGGCCGUGGAAGGAAAGGCGCUACGGCGCCGACCUGAGAUGAGCCCGCGUCCCAUUAGCUAGUUGGUGAGGUAACGGCCCACCAAGGCGAUGAUGGGUAGGCGGCCUGAGAGGGUGUACGCCCACAUUGGGACUGAGAUACGGCCCAAACUCCUACGGGAGGCAGCAGCUAAGAAUAUUCCGCAAUGGACGAAAGUCUGACGGAGCGACGCCGCGUGGAUGAUGAAGGCCGGAAGGUUGUAAAAUCCUUUUGUCGGGGAAGAAUAAGCGUGGGAGGGAAUGCCCGCGUGAUGACAUGAACCGGCGAAUAAGCCCCGGCUAACUACGUG
RNAcentral lists this ribosomal RNA (490 nucleotides) under uncultured bacterium. RNAcentral's name for it is "bacterial SSU rRNA". It matches the Rfam family "Bacterial small subunit ribosomal RNA", at positions 32 to 507 of the family's 1533-position model. The record is from RNAcentral.